AAGUCGAACGAUGAAGCCCUUCGGGGUGGAUUAGUGGCGAACGGGUGAGUAACACGUGGGCAAUCUGCCCUUCACUCUGGGACAAGCCCUGGAAACGGGGUCUAAUACCGGAUAACACCGGCCUCCGCAUGGAGGCUGGUUGAAAGCUCCGGCGGUGAAGGAUGAGCCCGCGGCCUAUCAGCUUGUUGGUGGGGUAAUGGCCUACCAAGGCGACGACGGGUAGCCGGCCUGAGAGGGCGACCGGCCACACUGGGACUGAGACACGGCCCAGACUCCUACGGGAGGCAGCAGUGGGGAAUAUUGCACAAUGGGCGAAAGCCUGAUGCAGCGACGCCGCGUGAGGGAUGACGGCCUUCGGGUUGUAAACCUCUUUCAGCAGGGAAGAAGCGAAAGUGACGGUACCUGCAGAAGAAGCGCCGGCUAACUACGUGCCAGCAGCCGCGGUAAUACGUAGGGCGCAAGCGUUGUCCGGAAUUAUUGGGCGUAAAGAGCUCGUAGGCGGCUUGUCACGUCGGGUGUGAAAGCCCGGGGCUUAACCCCGGGUCUGCAUCCGAUACGGGCAGGCUAGAGUGUGGUAGGGGAGAUCGGAAUUCCUGGUGUAGCGGUGAAAUGCGCAGAUAUCAGGAGGAACACCGGUGGCGAAGGCGGAUCUCUGGGCCAUUACUGACGCUGAGGAGCGAAAGCGUGGGGAGC
RNAcentral lists this ribosomal RNA (693 nucleotides) under Streptomyces sp. ISP2-42-8. RNAcentral's name for it is "bacterial SSU rRNA". It matches the Rfam family "Bacterial small subunit ribosomal RNA", at positions 59 to 769 of the family's 1533-position model. Lineage: Bacteria; Bacillati; Actinomycetota; Actinomycetes; Kitasatosporales; Streptomycetaceae. The record is from RNAcentral.